Molecule: unclassified non-coding RNA, 302 nt
Filed under: uncultured fungus
Lineage: Eukaryota; Fungi
Description: sequence contains ITS2
Source: RNAcentral
AACGCAUAUUGCGCCCGCUAGCACUCUAGCGGGCAUGCCUGUCCGAGCGUCAUUUCGACCGUAUGAGCCUGUCGUCCUGGACACAGAGCUCUCUGUUGGGGUGCUACAGCGCGCGCCCAGUGCCGCGUAGGCCCCUAAAGACAGCGGCGGCGCCGUCGAGACCCCGAGCGCAGUAGCGUACACGCCCAGCGGCGUGCCUCGUUCAGGGCGUCCAGACGUGUGGCCAGCCGUGAAAACCCGCCGCCCCGGCGGCCAAACCCAAGGUUGACCUCGGAUCAGGUAGGAAUACCCGCUGAACUUAA